UACGAAGGGUGCUAGCGUUGUUCGGAAUUACUGGGCGUAAAGCGCGCGCAGGCGGUCUUCCAAGUCAGUGGUGAAAGCCCGGAGCUCAACUCCGGAACUGCCAUUGAAACUGUUAGACUUGAGGAUGAGAGAGGUGAGUGGAAUUCCCAGUGUAGAGGUGAAAUUCGUAGAUAUUGGGAAGAACACCGGUGGCGAAGGCGGCUCACUGGCUCAUUACUGACGCUCAGGCGCGAUAGCGUGGGGAUCAAACAGG
RNAcentral lists this ribosomal RNA (253 nucleotides) under uncultured bacterium. Its description in RNAcentral is "partial 16S ribosomal RNA". It matches the Rfam family "Bacterial small subunit ribosomal RNA", at positions 524 to 776 of the family's 1533-position model. The record is from RNAcentral.